Caenorhabditis elegans is the source of this 21-nucleotide non-coding RNA. The record is from Ensembl. Lineage: Eukaryota; Metazoa; Nematoda; Chromadorea; Rhabditida; Rhabditidae.
UGCUGUCCAUAGAAUUAUAUA